This 262-nucleotide ribosomal RNA is filed under the name Vibrio parahaemolyticus. RNAcentral's name for it is "partial 23S ribosomal RNA". It matches the Rfam family "Bacterial large subunit ribosomal RNA", at positions 229 to 538 of the family's 2925-position model. The record is from RNAcentral. Lineage: Bacteria; Pseudomonadati; Pseudomonadota; Gammaproteobacteria; Vibrionales; Vibrionaceae.
CCGAGAUUCCGAAAGUAGCGGCGAGCGAAAUUGGACUAGCCCUUAAGCUUUACACGCGUUAGACGAACGGUCUGGAAAGUCCGACGAUACAGGGUGAUAGUCCCGUAGUUGACGACGUGUGUUCAGUGAAAUCGAGUAGGGCGGGACACGUGAUAUCCUGUCUGAAUAUGGGGGGACCAUCCUCCAAGGCUAAAUACUACUGACUGACCGAUAGUGAACCAGUACCGUGAGGGAAAGGCGAAAAGAACCCCUGUGAGGGGAG